GCGAAGCGGGAAGAGCUCAAAUUUAUAAUCUGGCACCUUCGGUGUCCGAGUUGUAAUCUCUAGAAGUGUUUUCCGCGUUGGACCGCACACAAGUCUGUUGGAAUACAGCGGCAUAGUGGUGAAACCCCCGUAUAUGGUGCGGACGCCCAGCGCUUUGUGAUACACUUUCAAUGAGUCGAGUUGUUUGGGAAUGCAGCUCAAAUUGGGUGGUAAAUUCCAUCUAAAGCUAAAUAUUGGCGAGAGACCGAUAGCGAACAAGUACCGUGAGGGAAAGAUGAAAAGCACUUUGGAAAGAGAGUUAACAGUACGUGAAAUUGUUGGAAGGGAAACGCUUGAAGUCAGACUUGCUUGCCGGAGCUUGCUUCGGUUUGCAGGCCAGCAUCAGUUUUCCGGGGUGGAUAAUGACGGUUUGAAGGUAGCAGUCUCGGCUGUGUUAUAGCUUUCCGUUGGAUACAUCCUGGGGGACUGAGGAACGCAGCGUGCUUUUUGCGAAAGACUCGUCU
RNAcentral lists this ribosomal RNA (503 nucleotides) under Rhodotorula babjevae. RNAcentral's name for it is "partial large subunit ribosomal RNA". It matches the Rfam family "Eukaryotic large subunit ribosomal RNA", at positions 93 to 601 of the family's 3401-position model. The record is from RNAcentral. Lineage: Eukaryota; Fungi; Basidiomycota; Microbotryomycetes; Sporidiobolales; Sporidiobolaceae.